This 253-nucleotide ribosomal RNA is filed under the name uncultured bacterium. RNAcentral's name for it is "partial 16S ribosomal RNA". It matches the Rfam family "Bacterial small subunit ribosomal RNA", at positions 524 to 776 of the family's 1533-position model. The record is from RNAcentral.
UACAGAGGUCCCAAGCGUUGUUCGGAUUCAUUGGGCGUAAAGGGUGCGUAGGCGGCGCGGUAAGUCGGGUGUGAAAUCUCGGAGCUUAACUCCGAGCCUGCUUCCGAUACGGGCAGACUAGAGGUAGGCAGGGGAGAGCGGAACUCCUGGUGUAGCGGUGGAAUGCGCAGAUAUCAGGAAGAACACCGGUGGCGAAGGCGGCUCUCUGGGCCUUACCUGACGCUGAGGAGCGAAAGCGUGGGUAGCGAACAGG